This is a long non-coding RNA of Carassius gibelio (silver crucian carp), 3838 nucleotides long. RefSeq lists it as uncharacterized. The record is from RefSeq and is a predicted model, not a curated record. The transcript has 3 exons. Lineage: Eukaryota; Metazoa; Chordata; Actinopteri; Cypriniformes; Cyprinidae.
UAAUUUUGACCAUUAGGCUAUAGAACUGUGACUUUAAAGAUUAGUCAUUAAGAUGGUAAAAAUACUGUGAAAUUAAUAAUGGCAUGGAUUUUAGAGCAUAACAACUGAAGGUUUAUGAAACAUUAGCCAAUAAAGCAUUUUUUUAAACAACGGAACUUUAUAUAAUAUAAAAUAUUAUUUCAACCAUACAGCAUGGGAAUAAAUAAAAUGCAUAAUUUUCAUAACAUUUCAUUAUUCAUAAAAUGCAUAACGUUUCUGGUGUUUGGAUAUGUACUUCAAUAUUAUUGAGCUCCAAGUUUAAGAAUAGUCCUAGACUUCUCUCUUUCUUUAACAGCAUUAGCUCAAUGAUAUAGCCUAUGUCUUCCUUCCGUUAGAAUUUUCCUGCCUUGCUAAAUGUUGGGCUCAUGAUCAAUAAGUUCGCCUCAGUCUGAUUCAGUAAAGUCAAACGCAGACAGUGAAGCCUCGGAGACCCGCGCGCUGUGAGGCGGGAACAGAGGACUCCGCUUGGUCUUAAAGCCUCCCGCAAACUUCCACGAUCACAAAUAACAAUGAUUUUCGUAAAAUAAUGCUUAAUUAUUAAUUGAUGAAUUGUUAUUAUCAUUAUGGUUUUGUGAAAAUAAUAAUAUGGGCUGCGAGAAAAUUAUGAAUACAAAGAGUAGUGCUGCUGAGUGCAGGCAUGUUUCAGCCCAGUAAUACACCGUUCCUCAGAGCCAAAACACAGACCGAAUUCUGUUCAGCUGGAGGGGGUUGGGUUUUGGAUAGUUAUUCAUGGCUUGUGGGGUCGAGAUAAAGGUGUGAAUUGCUCUUUCAUAUGGACAAUGUCUUAUGAGGCAUUCACUUGCUGAACCGGUUUAUAUAGGACUGUUGUUUUGGUUAUAUUCACAGUGCUGGCUCUCUCCGACGAGAUAAAUGCAACAUUCACACAUUACACUAUUCCUUUUUGUUUAAAAACAUUUCAAGCUUUCUGUAGCUAGAUAUAUUUUUAAUGUACCAAUGUGAGACACCACGAUAUGUUAAUUAAAAAAAUUAUACAUUCAUUAUCAUGAAAAAUUAAAGUGAUGAGACUGUGCCUUCCUGUCAUUAAUGCACAUUAAUAAUUUUUGCACAAACACUUGAAUAUAAGCUUCUUAUCACGAGUAAAGUUCAUGCCAACAGCCAACAUAUUUAGCUUGAUCAGAAGGUUGACUGCAAGAGUCGAGCGGGAUGUUAAGAGUUUGUCUGUUUCUUUUACGGAUUAUUUUCGGGUUAAAGCAUGAUUUAAACAGAUUCACACUCAAACGCUUUCGCAAUAAUGCGUUCAAACAAAUGUAAUCUUACAGUGCUACAUUAUCAGCAUGCUAUCUGAUUUUGAAAUCUUGAAGUCAAUCGAUCUGUUUAGAUAAAAUAACUGACAAAGAUGUUAUUUUCAUCACAAGCAAAAUUUUCACAGCAGAAAGCAGCAAUUAAAGAUUAGUUUGGCAUGUGAUAUAGGGAAAAAAGUUUACACAUAGCCUAAGCCACUUUGAAACUCUCAAGUUUUUUUUAUUAUUAGGGGCCAAGCACCGAAGGUGCGAGGCACCUAUUGUUUCCGUUGGCGUUAUUAUUAUUAGGGUCCAAGCACCGAAGGUGCGUAGGCACCUAUUGUUUUCGUUGGCGUUAUUAUUAUUCUUCUUCUUCUUCUUCUUCCGCCGCAAGUCUAUGGCAGCCCAUAGAACCGAUUGCGGGAAAGUUGUAUAAUUUGGCACACUGAUAGAGGACAGUCCCAACAUUAACUAUAGCAAAUUUGAAGUCUCUAUCUCCUACUCUCUAGCGCCACCACUUGUCCAAACUUUUAAUGUUUGUAUGCUAAUAACUUUUGAACCGUAAGCCAGAAAAUGGAAAUUCUUUUUUCCUCUGAAUCCUUGGCUCAUGCCAAGUCGAAUGAACCCCAAAAUUCAAAAAUCGCAAGGUUUAGUUUUUUCGCUAUUUUCAAUUAUUCGAAAAACCUACUUUUUCAAACUCGUCCUAGACGGUUAGUCCGAUUGCCACGAAAAUUGGCUCAGAUCAUCUUCAGACCAUGCUGGCAAAAAGUUAUGGAAUUCAAGUUGAUUCGUCCAACUGUUGUCGAAUGACAUGUAAACAAAUUUGACGAAAAGCACGCAAACAUGCACGUGAGGCUAUAUCCCGGCAACGGUUUGUCAUAUUGAGACCAAACUUGGCGUGUGUUAUAACAAGCAUGAACUGAGACUACCUGCAGUGUUUCGACACAGCGCCACCUAGUGGUCAGGAGAUAUGAAAAAUGCAUAUUUUGGCUUAUAACUACUGAAUGGUUUGGCCAAAAAUCACACAACUGGUCUCUUUAGAUUCAGUGAGUCAUGUCGAGUCAAAUGAUAUCCAAUUUUCCUGUGUCGGCCAUUUUAGGCGUCGGCCAUUUUGAAUUAUGAUUUAAAAUGCUGUAUUUUUUGAACGCAGCAUCGUAUCGUUUCGCAAAUAAUUACAAAAAUAUUCGGCUCCAUGCCCUGAAGGUACUCAACAAGUUUGGUGGCAGCGCCACCUUGUGGCCAAUAGUUAUAAUGAAAUAUCACAUAAAUGCUAAUAACUUUUGAAUAAAUUAGUCUAUUAAAAUUAAAAUGGUCUCGCUAUAUUCUGUGGGUCAUGCCGAGAGCAUUGAUACCAAUUAUGUGAAAAUUGGCCUUACUUCCUGUCCGCCAUUUUGCUUAAUGUUGAAAACCUACUUUUUCGAACUCCUCCUAGACCGUUAGUCCAAUUUUCACCAAAUUUGACGUGAAUCAUCUUCAGACCAUGCUGGCAAAAAGUUAUGGAUUUCGUGUCGAUAUACGAAACAGUUCUCAUUUAGCGCAUCAACGAAUUUGCUGGAAGGGUGCCAAAAUGCAUUUGAGGCUGUAUCUCUGCAACGCUUUGACAUAUUUGCACCAAAUUUUGUAUGUGUCAUCGCCACCUCACACUGACCAUGCCACAUAAAUUUGGUGACAGCGCCACCUAUUGGUCAAGAGUAAUAAACCAUUCAUUAACCAUGAAUAAUUACACUUGUAAAAAUGCUAAUAACUUUUUAUUGCAUUAGCCCAUUCGAAUGGAACUGGGCUCAAAAUAUUCCCUGGUUUAUGCCGAUAACAUAGAUACCAAAUAUACCAUAGUAAGCUGAACUUCCGGUCCGCCAUUUUGAUUUAUGUUGAAAACCUACUUUGUCGAACUCCUCAUCAACCGUAGGUCCGAUUUUCACCAAAUUCGAAUCAAAUGAUCUUCAGACUAUGCUGACUCAAAGUUAUGGCUUUUGAGUCGAUAGACAAAACCGUUUUCGCAUACCACAUCGACGAAUUUGAGGCACAAUGAGAAAAUGACACUUGAGGCUGUAUCCCUGGAAUGCUUUGGCAUAUUGACACCAAACUUUGUGUGUGUCAUUGAAAAGUCACACAGAGUACACCAAAUUGAUUUUAUAACAGUGCCACCUAUUGGUCAAGCUUGAUAAGCCAAGUAAUCAUGCUACUAGAGGUGGUAUUAUGAUUUUUUUUUGCCAUUUCAAUUACAAUAAUUCCAAAAUUGCUGUUAUUGCUCAUUAAUGAAUUUGGUGUGAUGCUUCAUGCGAUGCUUAGCUCCUACAUUUGCCGUUGGAGUGCUUGGCCCCGUAAUUGCUGCUUGCAGCUAUAUUUAGGGGCCAAGCACCGAAGGUGCGUAGGCACCUAUUGUAAUCGUUGGCGUUAUUAUUAUUCUGCUUCUUCUUCUUCUUCUUCUUCUUCUUCUUCCGCCGCAAGUCUAUGGCAGCCCAUAGAACCGAUUGCGGGAAAGUUGUAUAAUUUGGCACACUGAUAGAGGACAGUCCCACCAUUAACUAUAGCAAAUUUGAAGUCUCUAACUCCAACUC